UGGAGACAAUCCAAUGCCAAUUAUAUAGUCUAUACACAUUUCAGGAAUUAAAUUCUGCUGAACAAUCAAUUCUGCUCAAUAAUAGUAAUUAUAGUAUAUUAUCUAAUACAAAACUACAUAUUUUUAUCUCAAAACGGUGUAGUGGAGUGGAACACAGGCUGCAGAUGGACUGGCUUUGCGGUAUAAUAAAUAUUAUUUUUAAUAUGCAGAGAGAAUUUCACGAUAUUCACCUGAAGAUGAAUGAUAUCGAAUUACGAAGAUAUUUUGGUGUAUCUUCUCUGUCAAACGGUACGUGACGUGAACCUAUCUAAUAUUAGUAGACAAAUUUAUUAGAUGCCAAUAAAUUAGAAAAGGUAUUUUACAUAAAAGGAUUCCUAAUUAGGAUCUGAUAUCAUCCGAGAUAGGACUCUGAGUGCAUGUGAUCCCAGCGCCUUUUUUAAGGAUUUUCCCGGGGGGAGGGGGAUUUCUUGAAAAGGGACCUUUCUGUGAGAUAAUAUAAUAGGGGUAUAGCAAUGGCGGAAGGCCAUGUAUUUGGCUGACAUACCAUGCAUGAAUAGGGGGGUCUGGAGGCAUUCUCCCCCAGAAAAUGUUUGAAAUUUGAAGCCCGGAAAUGCAAUUUCCUGCAUUCCGAGCAUCCAAAUUAGCUCUAAAAUUUAUGCUAACUAUACUUGUAUUUGAAAUAAAAGAAGGAAAAAAACGA
Molecule: non-coding RNA, 700 nt
Organism: Paramuricea clavata
Lineage: Eukaryota; Metazoa; Cnidaria; Anthozoa; Malacalcyonacea; Plexauridae
Source: the annotation of a GenBank genome assembly